GGGAGCCUUAUUAUUUUCAUAGAGAAGUAAAAUAAAUUAACCACUUAUGUUUGAAAUGUAUAAAUGUGAAAAUUUAUGUUGAGUUCUAGUGCUGCCAGAUGAUCAACAGGAAACAGUCUGCAUCCCCAAACCCAUAAAUGCAACAAGGUAAUACCUGAGUUAUACUGGUUACUACAAGUUUGAUGUUCUUUCAAAGUUUAAAAGCCCCUACACAAGGAAAAAGGUGAGCAUUUCUGGAGGGGGGGGGGGAGGGGAGAGCUUGCUCUCUGGUUUACAAUGCCGUGCUCCCAACAGUUAGGUACUUCCCUAACUACAAUUACCCUAGCAGGAGGAUGAGCCAUGCCCACUGUGCUCUAAGUGUUCCCAGCUGGUGCCGCAGUAACAGCGCUGCAGUGACCCAGGCCCCUUCCCACACCUCUCUCACAAGCUCUCUUUGCCCAGGACUGAUUUAAGAGGGCAGAUGUGACCUGUUCAAACAGGGGCAGCUGCAGGGACAGCAACCCCAGAAAGAGGAUGGUGAGGGCCAUACAGGAUGAGCACAAACUGAAUGUCUAUGACUGUCUGCAACUGUAUCCAAGAUGAUAUUACUUGGGCUCUAACACCUUCUGCUAAUCUGAUAACUAACUCAGUAUUCCCAUUAUAUGUUUUUUUAAUUAUUAAUUCAUUAGGACAGAGGUUAGAGCAUUAGAAGAUGCAUUGAAGUCUUCAGCUAAAUUGUGACAGAAGAAUCACCAGAGUCCUAUGCUGCAGCUGUACGUUUUCACACAGAGGCAGAGCCUGCUCACUCCUACUGCCUGUGCAGGACCGCCAGGCUCCCAGCUCACCCCCUGCCUAACGCAGGGCGUGCAGCGGGAGCGAAUCUUCUGUGGCUGUCAAAGCAGAUUGGGGCUGCUCAGAAAGCAGCCUGGCCCUUCAAGCACUAACACAUGAUUAUUAGUAACUUGAUCGAGCUCAUACACCAAAUUAUGUUCCCAAAUCAUUUCCUAACCCACGAUAUUCACUUUUUAAUGAGCCGUUAGAAAAGUAAAUGAAAACCUCCA
This 1040-nucleotide long non-coding RNA is filed under the name Anser brachyrhynchus (Pink-footed goose). RNAcentral's name for it is "lncRNA (ENSABRG00000015394.1)". The record is from RNAcentral. Lineage: Eukaryota; Metazoa; Chordata; Aves; Anseriformes; Anatidae.